This 816-nucleotide ribosomal RNA is filed under the name Xepicula yifeii. Its description in RNAcentral is "Xepicula sp. QZ-2019a partial large subunit ribosomal RNA". It matches the Rfam family "Eukaryotic large subunit ribosomal RNA", at positions 78 to 929 of the family's 3401-position model. Lineage: Eukaryota; Fungi; Ascomycota; Sordariomycetes; Hypocreales; Stachybotryaceae. The record is from RNAcentral.
CCUCAGUAACGGCGAGUGAAGCGGCAACAGCUCAAAUUUGAAAUCUGGCCCCAGGCCCGAGUUGUAAUUUGCAGAGGAUGCUUUUGGCAAGGUGCCUUCCGAGUUCCCUGGAACGGGACGCCAUAGAGGGUGAGAGCCCCGUCUGGUCGGACACCGAGCCUCUGUAAAGCUCCUUCGACGAGUCGAGUAGUUUGGGAAUGCUGCUCAAAAUGGGAGGUAUAUGUCUUCUAAAGCUAAAUACCGGCCAGAGACCGAUAGCGCACAAGUAGAGUGAUCGAAAGAUGAAAAGCACUUUGAAAAGAGAGUUAAAUAGCACGUGAAAUUGUUGAAAGGGAAGCGUUUAUGACCAGACUUGGCCCGGUUGAUCAUCCAGCGUUCUCGCUGGUGCACUCUGCCGGUCCAGGCCAGCAUCAGUUCGUCGCGGGGGAUAAAGGUUUCGGGAAUGUGGCUCCUCCGGGAGUGUUAUAGCCCGUUGCGUAAUACCCUGCGGUGGACUGAGGUCCGCGCUCUGCAAGGAUGCUGGCGUAAUGGUCAUCAACGACCCGUCUUGAAACACGGACCAAGGAGUCGUCUUCGUAUGCGAGUGUUCGGGUGUAAAACCCCUACGCGUAAUGAAAGUGAACGCAGGUGAGAGCUUCGGCGCAUCAUCGACCGAUCCUGAUGUUCUCGGAUGGAUUUGAGUAAGAGCAUACGGGGCCGGACCCGAAAGAAGGUGAACUAUGCCUGUAUAGGGUGAAGCCAGAGGAAACUCUGGUGGAGGCUCGCAGCGGUUCUGACGUGCAAAUCGAUCGUCAAAUAUGGGCAUGGGGGCGAAAG